AUACGUAGGUGGCAAGCGUUGUCCGGAUUUAUUGGGCGUAAAGCGAGCGCAGGUGGUUUUUUAAGUCUGAUGUGAAAGCCUUCGGCUUAACCGGAGAAGUGCAUCGGAAACUGGGAGACUUGAGUGCAGAAGAGGGCAGUGGAACUCCAUGUGUAGCGGUGGAAUGCGUAGAUAUAUGGAAGAACACCAGUGGCGAAGGCGGCUGUCUAGUCUGUAACUGACGCUGAGGCUCGAAAGCACGGGUAGC
RNAcentral lists this ribosomal RNA (247 nucleotides) under uncultured bacterium. RNAcentral describes it as "partial 16S ribosomal RNA". It matches the Rfam family "Bacterial small subunit ribosomal RNA", at positions 523 to 769 of the family's 1533-position model. The record is from RNAcentral.